This 429-nucleotide ribosomal RNA is filed under the name Acidobacteriota bacterium. RNAcentral's name for it is "Acidobacteria bacterium partial 16S ribosomal RNA". It matches the Rfam family "Bacterial small subunit ribosomal RNA", at positions 355 to 776 of the family's 1533-position model. The record is from RNAcentral. Lineage: Bacteria; Pseudomonadati; Acidobacteriota.
UGGGGAAUUUUGGAUAAUGGGGGAAACCCUGAUCCAGCCAUCCCGCGUGUGCGAUGAAGGCCUUCGGGUUGUAAAGCACUUUUGGCAGGAAAGAAACGUCAUGGGUUAAUACCCCGUGAAACUGACGGUACCUGCAGAAUAAGCACCGGCUAACUACGGGCCAGCAGCCGCGGUAAUACGUAGGGUGCAAGCGUUAAUCGGAAUUACUGGGCGUAAAGCGUGCGCAGGCGGUUCGGAAAGAAAGAUGUGAAAUCCCAGAGCUCAACUUUGGAACUGCAUUUUUAACUACCGGGCUAGAGUGUGUCAGGGGGAGGUGGAAUUCCGCGUGUAGCAGUGAAAUGCGUAGAUAUGCGGAGGAACACCGAUGGCGAAGGCAGCCUCCUGGGAUAACACUGACGCUCAUGCACGAAAGCGUGGGGAGCAAACAGG